This 521-nucleotide ribosomal RNA is filed under the name uncultured bacterium. RNAcentral's name for it is "partial 16S ribosomal RNA". It matches the Rfam family "Bacterial small subunit ribosomal RNA", at positions 28 to 523 of the family's 1533-position model. The record is from RNAcentral.
AGCGAACGUUAGCGGCGGGCCUAACACAUGCAAGUCGCACGAGAAAGGGGGCUUCGGCUCCUGAGUAAAGUGGCGGACGGGUGAGUAACACGUGGGUAAUCUACCUUCCGGUGGGGGAUAACAGCCGAAAGGGUUGCUAAUACCGCAUCCGUCGGCGGAGGCCCCGGCCUCUGCCGGGAAAGGCGGCCUCUUCCUGAAAGCUGUCGCCGGAAGAUGGGCCCGCGGCCCAUCAGCUAGUUGGUAGGGUAACGGCCUACCAAGGCUCAGACGGGUAGCUGGUCUGAGAGGGUGAUCAGCCACACUUGGACUGAGACACGGCCCAGAAGCCUACGGGAGGCAGCAGUGGGGAAUAUUGGGCAAUGGGCGCAAGCCUGACCCAGCCACGCCGCGUGAGUGAUGAAGGCCUUCGGGUCGUAAAGCUCUGUGGGGAGGGACGAAUCAGCCUCGGGAGUAAUACCCCGGGGCCCUGACGGUACCUCCUUAGCAAGCACCGGCUAACUCCGUGCCAGCCGCCGCAGUAA